UAGGGAAUCUUCGGCAAUGGGGGGAACCCUGACCGAGCAACGCCGCGUGAGUGAAGAAGGUUUUCGGAUCGUAAAGCUCUGUUGUUAAGGAAGAACGAGUGUGAGAAUGGAAAGUUCAUGCUGUGACGGUACUUAACCAGAAAGGGACGGCUAACUACGUGCCAGCAGCCGCGGUAAUACGUAGGUCCCGAGCGUUGUCCGGAUUUAUUGGGCGUAAAGCGAGCGCAGGCGGUUAGAUAAGUCUGAAGUUAAAGGCAGUGGCUCAACCAUUGUAGGCUUUGGAAACUGUUUAACUUGAGUGCAGAAGGGGAGAGUGGAAUUCCAUGUGUAGCGGUGAAAUGCGUAGAUAUAUGGAGGAACACCGGUGGCGAAAGCGUCUCUCUGGUCUGUAACUGACGCUGAGGCUCGAAAGCGUGGGGAGCGAACAGG
This 429-nucleotide ribosomal RNA is filed under the name Bacteroidota bacterium. Its description in RNAcentral is "Bacteroidetes bacterium partial 16S ribosomal RNA". It matches the Rfam family "Bacterial small subunit ribosomal RNA", at positions 355 to 776 of the family's 1533-position model. Lineage: Bacteria; Pseudomonadati; Bacteroidota. The record is from RNAcentral.